ACGCUCAGUAACACGUAGUCAACAUGCCCAGGGGACGUGGAUAACCUCGGGAAACUGAGGAUAAACCGCGAUAAGUCAUUACUUCUGGAAUGGGUAAUGAUUAAAAUCUACAUGGCCCCUGGAUUGGACUGCGGCCGAUCAGGCUGUUGGUGAGGUAAUGGCCCACCAAACCUGUAACCGGUACGGGCUCUGAGAGGGGGAGCCCGGAGAUGGGCACUGAGACAAGGGCCCAGGCCCUAUGGGGCGCAGCAGGCGCGAAACCUCUGCAAUAGGCGAAAGCCUGACAGGGUUACUCUGAGUGAUUUCCGUUAAGGAGAUCUUUUGGCACCUCUAGAAAUGGUGCAGAAUAAGGGGUGGGCAAGUCUGGUGUCAGCCGCCGCGGUAAUACCAGCACCCCGAGUGGUCGGGACGUUUAUUGGGCCUAAAGCAUCCGUAGCCGGUUCUACAAGUCUUCCGUUAAAUCCACCUGCUUAACAGAUGGGCUGCGGAAGAUACUAUAGAGCUAGGAGGCGGGAGAGGCAAGCGGUACUCGAUGGGUAGGGGUAAAAUCCGUUGAUCCAUUGAAGACCACCAGUGGCGAAGGCGGCUUGCCAGAACGCGCUCGACGGUGAGGGAUGAAAGCUGGGGGAGCAAACCGGAUUAGAUACCCGGGUAGUCCCAGCUGUAAACGAUGCAGACUCGGUGAUGAGUUGGCUUCUUGCCAACUCAGUGCCGCAGGGAAGCCGUUAAGUUUGCCGCCUGGGGAGUACGGUCGCAAGACUGAAACUUAAAGGAAUUGGCGGGGGAGCAC
Molecule: ribosomal RNA, 790 nt
Filed under: uncultured archaeon
Lineage: Archaea
Description: bacterial SSU rRNA
Rfam family: Archaeal small subunit ribosomal RNA
Source: RNAcentral